AGGACUUGACAUCCUUUGACCACUCUAUCUCUAGAGUGGUCAAAGGAUGUCAAGUCCUGGUAAGGUUCUUCGCGUUGCUUCGAAUUAAACCACAUGCUCCACUGCUUGUGCGGGUCCCCGUCAAUUCCUUUGAGUUUCAGCCUUGCGGCCGUACUCCCCAGGCGGAGUGCUUAAUGUGUUAACGUCGGCACUAAGGGCAUCGAAACCCCUAACACCUAGCACUCAUCGUUUACGGCGUGGACUAC
This 245-nucleotide unclassified non-coding RNA is filed under the name Bacillus sp. (in: firmicutes). RNAcentral describes it as "Bacillus sp. (in: Bacteria) contains 16S-23S intergenic spacer region". The record is from RNAcentral. Lineage: Bacteria; Bacillati; Bacillota; Bacilli; Caryophanales; Bacillaceae.